AUAGAUAGCAUAGAUGUUGUUCUGAUUGACUGAUAGAGCAGGUAGGCUUCAAAGUAAUGUUAAUGUUAUGGAG
RNAcentral lists this microRNA precursor (73 nucleotides) under Brugia malayi. Its description in RNAcentral is "microRNA bma-mir-5873 precursor". Lineage: Eukaryota; Metazoa; Nematoda; Chromadorea; Rhabditida; Onchocercidae. The record is from miRBase by way of RNAcentral.